This 368-nucleotide ribosomal RNA is filed under the name uncultured organism. RNAcentral's name for it is "bacterial SSU rRNA". It matches the Rfam family "Bacterial small subunit ribosomal RNA", at positions 526 to 896 of the family's 1533-position model. The record is from RNAcentral.
CGUAGGUGGCAAGCGUUGUCCGGAUUUAUUGGGUUUAAAGGGUGCGUAGGCGGCCCUGUAAGUCAGCGCUGAAAUAUCCCGGCUUAACCGGGAGGGUGGCAUUGAUACUGCAGGGCUUGAGUAAAGUUGAGGUUGGCGGAAUUGACGGUGUAGCGGUGAAAUGCUUAGAUAUCGUCAAGAACACCGAUAGUGUAGACAGCUAACUAAGCUUUAACUGACGCUGAGGCACGAAAGUGUGGGGAUCAAACAGGAUUAGAUACCCUGGUAGUCCACACUGUAAACGUUGAUGACUCGCUGUUGGCGAUAUACAGUCAGCGGCUUAGAGAAAUCGUUAAGUCAUCCACCUGGGGAGUACGCCGGCAACGGUG